RNAcentral lists this unclassified non-coding RNA (333 nucleotides) under soil metagenome. RNAcentral's name for it is "partial contains 5.8S ribosomal RNA, internal transcribed spacer 2, and large subunit ribosomal RNA". The stretch from base 1 to 120 matches the Rfam family "5.8S ribosomal RNA", at positions 35 to 154 of the family's 154-position model. The record is from RNAcentral.
GAUGAAGAACGUAGCGAAAUGGGAUAAGUAGUGUGAAUUGCAGAAUUCAGUGAAUCAUCGAAUCUUUGAACGCACAUUGCGCCCCUCGGUAUUCCGUGGGGCAUGCCUGUUCGAGCGUCAUUUACCCCUCAAGCACUGCUUGGUGUUGGGCGUCUGUCCCGCUUCGCGCGCGGACUCGCCCCAAAGGUAUUGGCAGCGGUCGUGCCAGCUUCUCGCGCAGCACAUUGCGCUUCUCGAGGCGGUCGAUCGGCGUCCACGAAGCUCACCUCCACCGUUUGACCUCGGAUCAGGCAGGGAUACCCGCUGAACUUAAGCAUAUCAAUAAGCGGAGGA